GACGAACGCUGGCGGCGUGCUUAACACGUGCCAGUCGAACGGAAAGGCCCUGCUUUUGUGGGGUGCUCGAGUGGCGAACGGGUGAGUAACACGUGAGUAACCUGCCCUUGACUUUGGGAUAACUUCAGGAAACUGGGACUAAUACCGGAUAGGAGCUCCUGCUGCAUGGUGGGGGUUGGAAAGUUUCGGCGGUUGGGGAUGGACUCGCGGCUUAUCAGCUUGUUGGUGGGGUAGUGGCUUACCAAGGCUUUGACGGGUAGCCGGCCUGAGAGGGUGACCGGCAACAUUGGGAAGGAGAUCGGCCCCAGACUCCGAGGGGAGGCAGAGGGGGGGAAUAUUGCACAAGGGGCGGAGGCCUGAUGCAGCAACGCCGGGGGCGGGAUGACGGCUUUCGGGUUGAAACCCGCUUUCGCCGGUGACGAAGGGGGGGUGAGGGUAAGGGAUAAAGAAGCCCCGGCAAACUACGUC
This 468-nucleotide ribosomal RNA is filed under the name uncultured bacterium. RNAcentral describes it as "partial 16S ribosomal RNA". It matches the Rfam family "Bacterial small subunit ribosomal RNA", at positions 28 to 507 of the family's 1533-position model. The record is from RNAcentral.